This 69-nucleotide ribosomal RNA is filed under the name Gemmiger formicilis. RNAcentral describes it as "partial 16S ribosomal RNA". The stretch from base 1 to 61 matches the Rfam family "Bacterial small subunit ribosomal RNA", at positions 1473 to 1533 of the family's 1533-position model. Lineage: Bacteria; Bacillati; Bacillota; Clostridia; Eubacteriales; Oscillospiraceae. The record is from RNAcentral.
GAUUGGGGUGAAGUCGUAACAAGGUAGCCGUAUCGGAAGGUGCGGCUGGAUCACCUCCUUUCUAGGGAG